GACUGGAAAACAAAAGAGAGCGAGAGAGAGGCAAAUGUCACAAUUCAACCUCUAAUGGCUCGAUUGGACUUUGAACACUUCCAAGCGUCGUUGCUAUUCUUCGAGGGCUGACAAGAGACAGGUGGCGUGGUUGUUUUGUUGUUGACUAGAGUCCAGAUCUCGGCGAGAAUCCACAGGUUCCUCGCCUUUUCCCCCUCGCCGGUCUCGUCGGCUGUUUGCUUUUGGGACAACGUCGACCGGAUGAGCGCGUCAGGGGAGCACAUUUAAAGCCAUUAUGUCGCCGAGAAGAGGGGAAUGAUGAAGUUCGAGUUAGUCCAUGUGUAUGGCGUCUAGAACGCAUAGAAAAACAAACAAAAAAAGUCACAGCCUGGCUUCCAAAUCACGUUUCGAAGCUCUAUAUUUUUCGACUUCCUGUCAUCAAGUAGAAGAUUGUGGGUGUCAGCCUCGAGGACGGGCGUGAACCGAGGCGCUGUCCUCGGUCCUGAAGCCCCCCGCCUCCCAGUGGGACUCUCAACUCCUGACCUCAUUGAGUGUGCGAGAGUGACUUUCUCCUCCCCAAGAAGUCAACCUCCAGCAGCAGCUACCGAAAGAGCGAAAUAUGCACACCCCAACCAGACUUCAUCGACAAACUGUGGUCCUUUUGGCUUGUUUGGCGCACCUGAGCCAGCCAGUAUGCGUGGACGUUCCCUCGGGGACGGAGGCGGUUCUGGGAAAGAUGAUGAAGUUGACGUGUAUCUCUUGUAUGAAACGUGAGGAAGUGAAAGCCAAGACGCAUGUGGACUGGUACUACAUGACCAAGGUGGAACAAGGCGUCACACCUGACAAAACCCUUAUAUACAAGUACGAGGGUGAUUUACCUAUGGAGGUGGAUGGACCAUUCAAGGGCCGCCUGGUGUGGAACGGUAGCCAGGACCUGCAAGACCUCUCCAUCAGCAUCGUGAACGUCACCUACAAUGACAGCGGCGUCUACGAGUGCCGUGUGCUUCGCGAGUUUGAGUUUGACUCCUUCACUCCGUCAGCUUACAUCUUGAAGAACAUCACACUGAAGGUGAUAGAGGAAGUCAGCCCGGACACCACAGCCCUCUACUCGAAGAUCAUGAUGUACUUGCUGCUGGUCUUCUUGACCUUCUGGCUGUUGGUAGAGAUGGUUUACUGCUACCGCAAGAUCUCCAAGUCUGACGAGCUGGUCCAGGACACAGGAUACUGAAGAACCAUGAUGGACGAUAAAGAUCAACCAACCGAACGGCCCAACAACCCCCCUGCCCCCCAGUCCCACCCGUUUUCCUGUGGAGAGCCAAAAAUAUAACGGGGAAAAGAGAAGAGGAUUGUUUGUAUUAAUGAGGAUGAAAGAGGACUGCAUUUUAUUUCCAUGGGGAGGUCUGAAAUUACAGGAGGUAUGUUCCAUUUUGAUCAAUUUGAAUCCUCAAAAUAAAAAUGACAUUAAAAAAAAAAUGUUCUUUAUUAUAUUUGUAUAAUUUCAUCAAUGCAACGAAACACAACACAUCGAUAAUGGAAGUUAAACUUAAAACACCAUCGUACAGCAGAGUAGUCAUGUGGAGCGCCAUUCUCUCUAGGAUGCGUUGCAGGAAAAAUAAACAUUUUAUCAUGAAUGUUCAUUAUGUCAUUUGGAUAGUCGGCUAAUAUAGACACUCACAGCAUGUGUUGCAUUCAU
This is an RNA transcript of Phycodurus eques (leafy seadragon), 1672 nucleotides long. It is a transcript of the gene named sodium channel, voltage-gated, type III, beta, with no coding region annotated. The record is from RefSeq and is a predicted model, not a curated record. Lineage: Eukaryota; Metazoa; Chordata; Actinopteri; Syngnathiformes; Syngnathidae. The transcript has 6 exons.